This 426-nucleotide long non-coding RNA is filed under the name Prunus dulcis (almond). Its description in RNAcentral is "sRNA ncRNA". The record is from RNAcentral. Lineage: Eukaryota; Viridiplantae; Streptophyta; Magnoliopsida; Rosales; Rosaceae.
AUGGCUUGGUUCAUUCGAAAUGCAAUGCUGCUGCUAAUUCUGUUUUCGUUGUAUCGAAUAAACAUAUGUGACACUGACGAAGGAACGCUGCUCAUAAAACGAAGAUUUGUUAGAGUCACAAAUGAUUUGGGUGGAAACUUGACCCUUACAGUUCACUGUAAAUCAGCGGAUGACGACAUUGGUGUCCAAGUGCUUCCUUCUCAUGCUUCCUUUGGAUUCAAUUUUCGACCUAGCUGGAUAUUCAGUACACAAUUCUACUGCAGUUUUCAGUGGCCAAACACAUUUAAAUGGUUCGAUAUAUACGAUAACCCGAGAGACGCACCGCAUUGCAGCAAAUGUUGGUGGCGUAUAGUACCAAAUGGUCCAUGUAGGUUUAACUGGUAUGACAAAACGUAUGAUGUUUGCUUUCAGUGGAAUAAAGACUGA